UACGUAGGGCGCAAGCGUUGUCCGGAUUUAUUGGGUUUAAAGGGUGCGUAGGCGGCCCGUUAAGUCCGGGGUGAAAGCCCACAGCUCAACUGUUGAACUGCCAUGGAUACUGACGGGCUUGAGUACAGACGAGGUAGGCGGAAUGGAUGGUGUAGCGGUGAAAUGCAUAGAUACCAUCCAGAACACCGAUUGCGUAGGCAGCUUACUAGGCUGUAACUGACGCUGAGGCACGAAAGCGUGGGGAGCGAACAGG
RNAcentral lists this ribosomal RNA (253 nucleotides) under uncultured bacterium. RNAcentral describes it as "partial 16S ribosomal RNA". It matches the Rfam family "Bacterial small subunit ribosomal RNA", at positions 524 to 776 of the family's 1533-position model. The record is from RNAcentral.